GAUGGAAGUUCUAAAACUCUGGAGGUUUUUGUUUCAGCAAUGGCCAUGUGGACUGCUUGAGAGAUGUCUUCAGAAGUUCUGGGAAGAAUUUGCUAAAAGCAACAUUUCAGAUGAGAACCUGAAUUCAGAGUGGUCAAAAUAUGGCCUCAACAUCACACAGCCUGAAAGAGGAGGAUCCAGGAUUUGAACACAAGUGGUCCUCAUUGGAGGUCCCACCUUUAAACAUUAUUCUUUGUCUGGAAAGAAUCUUGAGGGAACAAAACUCCUUUGUUAUAAAGCAAAUAAAAAAUAUAUAAUUAUGAA
Galeopterus variegatus (Sunda flying lemur) is the source of this 303-nucleotide long non-coding RNA. RefSeq lists it as uncharacterized. The record is from RefSeq and is a predicted model, not a curated record. The transcript has 2 exons. NCBI's taxonomy places the organism in Eukaryota, Metazoa, Chordata, Mammalia, Dermoptera, Cynocephalidae.